UACGUAGGGGGCUAGCGUUGUCCGGAAUCAUUGGGCGUAAAGAGCGUGUAGGCGGUCCGGUAAGUCCGCUGUGAAAGUCGGGGGGCUCAACCCUUGAAUGCCGGUGGAUACUGUCGGGCUAGAGUCCGGAAGAGGAGAAUGGAAUUCCUGGGUGUAGCGGUGAAAUGCGCAGAUAUCAGGAAGAACACCCGUGGCGAAGGCGGUUCUCUGGGACGGUACUGACGCUGAGACGCGAAAGCGUGGGGAGGCGAACAGG
Molecule: ribosomal RNA, 256 nt
Filed under: uncultured bacterium
Lineage: Bacteria
Description: partial 16S ribosomal RNA
Rfam family: Bacterial small subunit ribosomal RNA
Source: RNAcentral